CUGAAUAGUCUAAUAUUGUUCCGGUUUUGGUUCUUGUGAACGUUGACAUCGAUUCGUUCGAAAUUACAACUCUCGGGGCAUAAUUGAACAAUAUAAUUAGGUUUUACUCUUUGUUCGAUAGAAUGAGAAAAAGUACUCGUCGCAAAGUUAUACUGCUAGGGCGCAACUGAGUAGUCUAAUGUUGUUCCGAUUUUGGUUCUUGUGAACGUUGACAUCGAUUCGUUCCAAAUUUACACUCUCGGGGCACAAUUGAACAAUAUAAUUAGGUUUUACUCUUUGUUCGAUAAAAAGAGAAAAAGUACUCGUUGCAAAGUUAUACUGUUAGGGCGCAACAGAGUAGUCUAAUGUUGUUCCGGUUUUCGUUCUUGUGAACGGUGACAUCGAUUCGUUCCAAAUUUACACUCUCGGGNCUGGGAACUUGUUGUACACAAUCUCGUCGUUGUGCCUUGGGCGGACAGGGGAGGUACUGUCCGUACGGCGGUCCGCCGCCGUGCCCGAACCGAACCAAAUUGGUAUCGGCCUCGGGGCGGGGGCGUGACAGAAAAAUUACUAGUUGCAAAGUUAUACUGUUGGGGCGCAACAGAGUAGUCUAUUGUUGUUCCGGUUUUGGUUAUUGUUAAGGUUGACAUCGAUUCGUUUCAAAUUUACACUCUCGAGGCAUAAUAGAACAAUAUAAUUAGGUUUUACUCUUUGUUCGAUAGAAUGAGAAAAAGUACUCAUUGCAAAGUUAUACUGUUAGGGCGCAACCGAAUAGUCUAAUGUUGUUCCGGUUUUGGUUCUUGUGAACGCUGACAUCAAUUGGUUCGAAAUUACAACUCUCGGGGCAUAAUUGAACAAUAUAAAUUAGGUUUUACUCUUUGUUCGAUAGAAUGAGAAAAAGAACUCGUCGCAAAGUUAUACUGCUAGGGGGCAACUGAGUAGUCUAAUAUUGUUCCGGUUUUGGUUCUUGUGAACGUUGACAUCGAUUCGUUCCAAAUUUACACUCUCGGGGCAUAAUAGAACAAUACAAUUAAGUUUUACUCUUUGUUCGAUCGAAUGAGAAAAAGUACUCGUUGCAAAUUUAUAAUAUUAGGGCGCAGCUGAGUAGUCUAAUGUUGUUCCGGUUUUGGUUCUUGUGAAGGUUGACAUCGAUUCGUUCCAAAUUUACACUCUUGGGGCAUAAUAGAACAAUAUAAUUAGCUUUUACACUUUGUUCGAUCGAAUGGGAAAAAAGUACUCGUUACAAAGUUAUACUGUUAGGGCGCAACUGAGUAGUCUAUUGUUAUUCCAGUUUUGGUUCUUGUGAAGGUUGACAUCGAUUCGUUCCAAAUUUACACUCUCGGGGCAUAAUAGAACAAUAAAAUUAGCUUUUACACUUUGUUCGAUUGAAUAAGAAAAAGUACUAGUUGCAAAGUUAUAUUGUUGGGGUGCAACAGAGUAGUCUAUUGUUUUUCCGAUUUUGGUUCUGGUGAAGGUUGAUAUCGAUUCGUUCCAAAUUUACACUCUCGGGGCAUAAUGAAUAAAAUAAAUAGCUUUUACACUUUGUUCGAUUGAAUGAGAAAAAGUACUAGUUGCAAAGUUAUACUGUUGGGGCGCAACAGAGUAGUUUACUGUUGUUCCGAUUUUGGUUCUUGUUAAGGUUGACAUCGAUUCAUUCCAAAUUUACACUCUCGGGGCAUAAUAGAACAAUACAAUUAAGUUUUACUCUUUGUUCGAUCGAAUGAGAAAAAGUACUCGUUGCAAAAUUAUGCUGUUAGGGCGCAACUGAGUAGUCUAGUGUUGUUCCGAUUUUGGUUCUUGUGAAGAUUGACAUCGAUUCGUUCCAAAUUUACACUCUCGGGGCAUAAUAGAACAAUAUAAUUAGCUUUUACACUUUGUUCGAUUGAAUGAGAAAAAGUACUAGUUGCAAAGUUAUACUGUUGGGGCGCAACAGAGUAGUCUAUUGUUGUUCCGGUUUUGGUUCUUGUUAAGGUUGACAUCGAUUCGUUCCAAAUUUACACUCUCGGGGCAUAAUAGAACAAUAUAAUUAGGUUUUACUCUUUGUUCGAUCGAAUGAGAAAAAGUACUCGUUGCAAAGUUAUACUGUUAGGGCGCAACUGAGUAGUCUAAUGUUGUUCCGGUUUUGGUUCUUGUGAACGUUGACAUCGAUUCGUUCGAAUUUACACUCUCGCGGCAUAAUAGAACAAUAUAAUUAGGUUUUACACUUUGUUCGAUAGAAUGAGAAAAAGUACUCGUUGCAAAGUUAUACUGUUAGGGCGCAACUGAGUAGUCUAAUGUUGUUCCGGUUUUGGUUCUUGUGAACGUUGACAUCGAUUCGUUCCAAAUUUACACUCUCGGGGCAUAAUAGAACAAUAUAAUUAGGUUUUACGCUUUGUUCGAUUGAAUGAGAAAAAGUACUCGUUGCAAAGUUAUACUGUUAGGGCGCAACUGAGUAGUCUAAUGUUGUUCCGGUUUUGGUUCUUGUGAACGUUGACAUCGAUUCGUUCCAAAUUUACACUCUCGGGGCAUAAUAGAACAAUAUAAUUAGNNNNNNNNNNNNNNNNNNNNNNNNNAGAUCGAUUCGUUCCAAAUUUACACUCUCGGGGCAUAAUAGGAAGUUUUUACUUCUUGUUCGAUAGAAUAAGAAAAAGUACUCAUCGCAAAGUUAUACUGUUAUGGCGCAACUGAGUAGUCUAAUGUUGUUCCGGUUUUGGUUCUUGUCAACGUUGACAUCGAUUCGUUCUAAAUUUACACUCUCGACGCUUGAACAAUAUAAUUAGGUUUUACUCUUUAUUCGAUUGAAUGAGAAAAAGGACUAGUUGCAAUGUUAUACUGUUAGGGCUCAACUGAGUAGUCUAACGUUCUUCCGGUUUUGGUUCUUGUGAACGCUGACAUUGAUUCGUUCCGAAUUUACACCCUUGGGGCAUAAAAGAAAGCUUUUACUCCUUGUUCGAUGAUUGAGAAAAAGUACUCAUUGCAAAGUUAUACUGUUAUGGCGCAAUAGAGUAGUCUAAUGUUGUUCCGGUUUUGGUUCUUGUGAACAUUGACGUCAAUUAGUUCCAAAUUUACACUCUCGGGGCAUAAUAGAACAAUAUUAUUAUGUUUUACGCUUUAUUCGAUUGAACGAGAAAAAGUACUCGUCGCAAAGUUAUUCUAUUAGGCGCAACUGAGUAGUCUAAUGUAGUUCCGGUUAUGGUACUUGUGAACGUUGACAUCGAUUCGUUCCAAAUUUACACUCUCGGGGCAUAAUAGAAAGCUUUUACUCCUUGUUCAAUAGAAUUAGAAAAAGUACUCGUUGCAAAGUUAAACUGUUAAGGCACACAGAGUAGUCUAUUGUUGUUCCGAUUUUGGUUCUUGUCAACGUUGACAUCGAUUCGUUCCAAAUUUACACUCUUGGGGUAUAAUAGAACAAUAUAAUUAGGUUUUACUCUUUAGUCGAUUGAAUGAGAAAAAGUACUAGUUGCAAUGUAAUACUAUCAGGGCUCAACUGAGUAGUCUAACGUUGUUUCUGUUUUGGUUCUUGUGAACGUUGACAUCGAUUCGUUCAAAAUUUACACUCUCGGGGAAUAAUAAAAAGCUUUUACUCCUUACUCGAAACAAUGAGAAAAAGUACACGUUGCAAAGUUAUGCUAUUAUGGCGCAACAGAGUAGCCUAAUGUAGUUCCGGUUUUGGUUCUUGUCAACGUUGACAUCGAUUCGUUCCAAAUAUACACUCUCGGGGCAUAAUAGAACAAUAUCGUUUGGUUUUACUCUUUAUUCGAUUGAAUGAGAGAAAGUACUCGUUGCAAAGUUAUACUGUUAUGGCAAAACUGAGUAGUCAAAUUUAGUUCCUGUUUUGGUUCUUGUGAACUUUGACUUCGAUUCGUUCCAAAUUUAUACUCUCGAGGCAUAAUAGAACAAUAUUAUUAGUUUUGCUAUUUGUUCGAUUGAAUGAGAACAAGUUCUAGUUGCAAAGUUAUACUGUCAAGGCUCAACUGAGUAGUCAAACGUUGUUCCGGUUUUGGUUUUUGUGAACGUCAACAUCGUUACGUUGCAAAUUUACACUCUCGGGGCAUAAUAGAAAGCUUUUACACCUUGUUCGAUAGAAAGAGAAAAAGUACUCGUUGCAAAAUUAUAUUGUUAUGGCGCAACAGAGUAGUCUAAUGUUAUUUCAGGUUUGGUUCUUGUGAACAUUGACAUCGAUUCAUACCAAAUUUACACUCUCGGUGCAUAAUAGAACAACAUAAGUAGGUUUUGCUCUUUGUUCGAUUGAAUGAGAAAAAGUACUAGUUGCAAUCUUAUACUGUUAGGGCUCAACUGAGUUGUCUAACGUUGUUUCGGUUUUGGUUCUCGUGAACGUUGACAUCGAUUCNNNNNNNNNNNNNNNNNNNNNNNNNAUACUGUUAUGGCGCAACUGAGUAGUCUAAUGUUGUUCCAGUUUUGGUUCUUGUGAACGUUGACAUCGAUUCGUUCCAAAUUAAAACUCUCCGGUAAUAAUAGAACAAUAUAAUUAGGUUUUGCUCUUUGUUCGAUUGAAUGAGAAAAAAUACUAGUUGCAAAGUUAUACUGUUAGGGCUCAACUGAGUAGUCUAACGUUGUUCCGGUUUUAGUUCGUGCGAACGUUGACAUUGAUUCGCUCCAAAUUUACACUCUCGGGGCAUAAUAGAUAGCUUUUACUCCUUAUUCGAUAGAAUUAGAAAAAGUACUCGUUGCAAAGUUAAACUGUUAAGGCGCAACUGAGUAGUCUAGCGUUGUUCCAGUUUUGGUUCUUGUGAACGUUGACAUCGAUUCGUUCCAAAUUUACACUCUCGGGGUAUAAUAGAACAAUAUAAUUAGGUUUUACUCUUUGUUCAAUUGAAUAAGAAAAAGUACUGGUUGCAAUGUCAUACUGUUAGGGCUCAACUGAGUAGUCUAACGUUCUUCCGAUUUUGGUUCUCGUGAACGUUG
This 4884-nucleotide long non-coding RNA is filed under the name Ananas comosus (pineapple). RNAcentral describes it as "long non-coding RNA (ACOM_LNC029062)". Lineage: Eukaryota; Viridiplantae; Streptophyta; Magnoliopsida; Poales; Bromeliaceae. The record is from RNAcentral.